CACGGGCCAGCCACUGGCCUGUGGCCACCGCACUCGUUCCAACUAGUUGGGCCAAAAAUCCGGUAACUCCGCGUCGUCCCUUCCCUCCCGGCUUCCAGGGUCCAGGCCUCCCGCCUCCCUGCACAGCACAGCACAGCACAGCACCCCGCAUCUCUCCCCUUCCUCACCAACCCCGCCGCCUCCGACGUUCACCUCGGCGGCCGCCACCGGCGAGGCCGCACCUCGCCGGUCACCCACCCCCGCUACUCGAUAUUAUAUCCUACUCCGAGGAUCCGCGUAGCCGCCUCCGGCUGCCCACCCGCGGAACUCUAGAUCUCCGAUACCCCGCGCUCCCUCCCGCCGACGGCCACCCGACCGGAAUGGGCCGCUGUCUUCAGUAAGGUCUAAGGACCCAAGGGAACCCUCCUCCGCCUUCGCUCGUGCGCGAAGCGCGGCCGCGAUGGCGAUCCGCAUUACGGUGUCCUACUCGGGCUACGUGGCGCAGAACCUGGCCGCGUCCUUCGGCCUCCGCUGCACCGUGGCUGCGGGCGCAAGCGCGGCGCUCGGCCCGGGGUGCCGCUUCCUCCAGGACGCGCUAUCCCACCCCUUCUGCCUCUUCGCUUCCUCCCGCCGCGCCGACCCCCACCAUGACGCCGAGGAUCACAACCACCCGAAGCCCAGGUCCAAGGCUCUAGCCCCCGCCGCCGCAGCAAGAGGAGGCGGCCACUCAUUGCUGCUGCCGCGGUCGUGUUCCGGGAAGGCGGCGCCGCCGGUGGAUGACCCCCCAGCCUCGUUGGCCGUGGGGCUGCUGUCGGUGUUCGCGUCUGGGAUGGGAUCGACUGGUGGCAUUGCUGGUGCGUCCUCCCUUGCUGCGUCGCCGUCAAUAUCAGCCGGGUUCAACCCUGCGGCGCUCCUCCCGUUCUUGCAGGCGAGCAAGUGGCUCCCCUGCAGCGACAUAGUCACUGUUGCAACGACGUCGCGCAGCUCAGGACGCCCAGCAGGUUCAACUGCUUCGCCUGUACCGCGGACAACUGCACCAUCGCCCCGUCCUACACAACGCGCAGCCGCUCCAUCUCCCUGCCCUGUGCCAUCACCUGCUGUUGCUGCUCCUUCCAAGGUCGGCAUACAAGCAUUGGUUGGUAGUGCUAGCAUCGCCUCAGGUUCAGCUGAGAUUGGAAGGGGAGCCAUUGCCUCUGGUGUGGCUGGAAUGGUGAAGAAGAGUGGUGCUAGUAUUCCUGCUGGUGCAGGGGUGAGAAGGAAGACUGGUUGGCUCUCAAAGUGGGUGAGCUCAUGCUCAGAUGAUGCAAAGACAGUCUUCGCCGCCGUGACCGUGCCACUGCUCUAUAAAUCAUCCCUAGCUGAGCCGAGAUCCAUCCCAUCCAGGUCAAUGUUCCCAACAUUUGAUGUUGGUGACCGGAUCCUUGCUGAGAAGGUUUCGUACAUUUUCCGGGAGCCAGAAAUUUUGGACAUUGUGAUAUUUCGUGCACCUCCAGUCCUUCAGGCAUUGGGCUACAACUCAGGUGAUGUGUUCAUCAAGAGAGUUGUGGCUAAGAGCGGGGACACCGUUGAAGUAAGCUUUUAUCCCAAUGGUACGUGAUGGUAACUUGUUGGUUAAUGGAGUAGUUCAGGAGGAGGAAUUUGUGCUGGAACCAGCCAACUAUGAAAUGGAUCCGCUGACUGUGCCUGAAGGCUAUGUCUUUGUCCUGGGGGAUAACAGAAACAACAGCUUUGAUUCACAUAACUGGGGUCCACUUCCAUUUAAGAACAUCCUUGGGAGAUCUGUGCUCCGAUACUGGCCACCAUCGAGGAUAACAGAUACAAUAUAUGAGCAUGACAUAGUGCAGUACACAGCUGCUGCAUCCUGAUAGUACAUUGUGGCAAUACCACAUGCUGCAGGUCCAUUUUUCCUUUCCCUGCUGACAAAGGGUUAUGCUGAGCCUUUAGGGCUUGUUCGGUUAUUUUCAAUCCAUAUGGAUUGAAGGGGAUUGAUACGGAUUGAGGGGGAUUUUGACUUACUAGGGAUUGAAACCCCCUCAAUCCCCCUCAAUCCAUAUGGAUUGGGAUAUAACCGAACAAGCCCUUAGGUUCUUUAUUUACUGGCUGUAGCCUUGCCUCAAAUGUCGAUUGCGCAGCUUGGCAGACAGAUUGAUUUUUUUUUCACUCCCUACGGGCAGAUGCUUGUUCGAAAGCAACAAAUUUUCUCUGUAGCUAAGAAUGAAUGUCAUAUAAAUGUUGCAGAAGUAGAUGAACGAGCAUCAAUGAGUGAUAAGGAUGUCAGUUCUCUUGUUUUAUGUGACGACAUGUUGUUCAAAACUUAUGUAAAAAGGAAAUACAAAGCAUAAAAGGCUGCUCAACUUGUGCUAUGUAUCUAUUCAUUAUUGCAUCUAGGACCAAAGAUUAAGGCAAGGUCAGCCUGGUGCAAAGGUUUUGGUUGAA
Molecule: RNA transcript, 2415 nt
Organism: Zea mays
Lineage: Eukaryota; Viridiplantae; Streptophyta; Magnoliopsida; Poales; Poaceae
Exons: 6
Source: RefSeq, marked validated